Molecule: long non-coding RNA, 725 nt
Organism: Populus trichocarpa (black cottonwood)
Lineage: Eukaryota; Viridiplantae; Streptophyta; Magnoliopsida; Malpighiales; Salicaceae
Exons: 2
Source: RefSeq, a predicted model, not a curated record
AGGAGAGGUGCCAAGAAGCAGAGCUUUAUAUGACGACAAUCCAUUAACGUAAGAAAAGCCAGCCUCCUCUGAUGCUUCACAUGUCAAUCCGUUUAUUCAACUGGACAAGGCAAAGGAUUCCGAGUUAUACAAGCCAGUAUUGAUGGAGUCUUACACCUCACCAGGUGGGUUCUUGCAAAAUUUUCAAUGUACCUAUUGAGUUGAAUAGUUUUGAAAAUGUUUUUAAGAAAUGCUAUUGAUGAUUGAACCAGAUUCCAUUGUCCAUGUAUCAGCGGCUUCAUAUCCUGCAUUAGUUAUCUGGUUUGAAUUGCCAGCAGUCGCAUUGAGGUUCGAGAGUGGUCUUCCACAUCAUCAGGUACAUUUUCUCUGUUUUGAGGUUGCAGUAUUGAUAACACACCAAUCCAAGGGUAAAUGUGAGCUACAGAUUCAAACCUUUCGGGAGUUCAGUGCUCAAACAUCAUAUUCCCAGAAAUGAAGUCAAAAGAUACGACUCAUCACUGCAUUCCUUCUCUAAAAGAGAAUGCGAACUCUGUGUAUGAAGAAAAGUAAAUACAACUAAUUUAAAGUUUCUUAGUCCUUGCAAUCUGCAUUCUUUAUUAUUUAGCAUCUCUUCUUUGUUUUGUGCCCAACCCCAAUGCCCCUUUAAGUGUUCAAGAAAAGGAAACCAAACUCUGUCCACCGAGAAAAUAAAAAUAAAACUAAUUUAAAUCUUUUAUUCCUUGCAA